CGCGGCCUAUCAGCUUGUUGGUGGGGUGAUGGCCUACCAAGGCUUCGACGGGUAGCCGGCCUGAGAGGGCGUCCGGCCACACUGGGACUGAGACACGGCCCAGACUCCUACGGGAGGCAGCAGUGGGGAAUAUUGCGCAAUGGGCGGAAGCCUGACGCAGCGACGCCGCGUGGGGGAUGACGGCCUUCGGGUUGUAAACCUCUUUCGACUUCGACGAAGCUUUUUGGGGUGACGGUAGGGGUGGAAGAAGCACCGGCCAACUACGUGCCAGCAGCCGCGGUAAUACGUAGGGUGCGAGCGUUGUCCGGAAUUAUUGGGCGUAAAGAGCUCGUAGGCGGUGUGUCACGUCGGCCGUGAAAACCUGCAGCUUAACUGUGGGCGUGCGGUCGAUACGGGCAUCACUGGAGUUCGGCAGGGGAGACUGGAAUUCCUGGUGUAGCGGUGAAAUGCGCAGAUAUCAGGAGGAACACCGGUGGCGAAGGCGGGUCUCUGGGCCGAUACUGACGCUGAGGAGCGAAAGCGUGGGGAGCGAACAGGAUUAGAUACCCUGGUAGUCCACGCCGUAAACGGUGGGCACUAGGUGUGGGGGCCAUUCCACGGUCUCUGUGCCGCAGCUAACGCAUUAGGUGCCCCGCCUGGGGAGUACGG
This 648-nucleotide ribosomal RNA is filed under the name uncultured bacterium. RNAcentral describes it as "bacterial SSU rRNA". It matches the Rfam family "Bacterial small subunit ribosomal RNA", at positions 232 to 885 of the family's 1533-position model. The record is from RNAcentral.